Molecule: ribosomal RNA, 254 nt
Filed under: uncultured bacterium
Lineage: Bacteria
Description: partial 16S ribosomal RNA
Rfam family: Bacterial small subunit ribosomal RNA
Source: RNAcentral
CACGUAGGGUGCGAGCGUUGUCCGGAAUUAUUGGGCGUAAAGAGCUCGUAGGCGGUGUGUCGCGUCGGCCGUGAAAACCUGCAGCUUAACUGUGGGCGUGCGGUUGAUACGGGCAUCACUGGAGUUCGGCAGGGGAGACUGGAAUUCCUGGUGUAGCGGUGAAAUGCGCAGAUAUCAGGAGGAACACCGGUGGCGAAGGCGGGUCUCUGGGCCGAUACUGACGCUGAGGAGCGAAAGCGUGGGGAGCGAACAGG